Small nucleolar RNA from Nothoprocta perdicaria, 84 nucleotides. The record is from Ensembl. Lineage: Eukaryota; Metazoa; Chordata; Aves; Tinamiformes; Tinamidae.
GGUCCGUGAUGAGAAAUAGCCAAAUCUGAGCACCAGAGGAUAAACUGAUCUUCCGGGUGCUGUGAUUUGUACACCGUUCUGAGA